This 785-nucleotide ribosomal RNA is filed under the name uncultured Glomus. RNAcentral's name for it is "SSU rRNA". It matches the Rfam family "Eukaryotic small subunit ribosomal RNA", at positions 325 to 1111 of the family's 1831-position model. The record is from RNAcentral. Lineage: Eukaryota; Fungi; Glomeromycota; Glomeromycetes; Glomerales; Glomeraceae.
AUGGUAGGAUAGAGGCCUACCAUGGUGGUAACGGGUAACGGGGUGUUAGGGCACGACACCGGAGAGGGAGCCUGAGAAACGGCUACCACAUCCAAGGAAGGCAGCAGGCGCGCAAAUUACCCAAUCCCGACACGGGGAGGUAGUGACAAUAAAUAACAAUACGGGGUUCUUUGAAUCUUGUAAUUGGAAUGAGUACAAUUUAAAUCUCUUAACGAGGAACAAUUGGAGGGCAAGUCUGGUGCCAGCAGCCGCGGUAAUUCCAGCUCCAAUAGCGUAUAUNAAAGUUGUUGCAGUUAAAAAGCUCGUAGUUGAAUUUCGGGAUCAAUACGUCGGUCGUGCUUUCGGGUACGUACUGGCGUCAUUGGUUUCUCCUUUCUGACGAACCAUGAUGUCAUUAAUUUGGUGUUAUGGGGAGUUAGGACUGUUACUUUGAAAAAAUUAGAGUGUUUAAAGCAGGCAUUAGCUUGAAUACAUUAGCAUGGAAUAAUGAAAUAGGACGUUCGAUCCUAUUUUGUUGGUUUCUAGGAUCAACGUAAUGAUUAAUAGGGAUAGUUGGGGGCAUUAGUAUUCAAUUGUCAGAGGUGAAAUUCUUGGAUUUAUUGAAGACUAACUACUGCGAAAGCAUUUGCCAAGGAUGUUUUCAUUAAUCAAGAACGAAAGUUAGGGGAUCGAAGACGAUCAGAUACCGUCGUAGUCUUAACCAUAAACUAUGCCGACUAGGGAUCGGAUGAUGUUAAUUUUUUAAUGACUCAUUCGGCGCCUUACGGGAAACCAAAGUGUUUGGG